This 2904-nucleotide ribosomal RNA is filed under the name Salmonella enterica subsp. enterica serovar Senftenberg. Its description in RNAcentral is "bacterial LSU rRNA". It matches the Rfam family "Bacterial large subunit ribosomal RNA". The record is from RNAcentral. Lineage: Bacteria; Pseudomonadati; Pseudomonadota; Gammaproteobacteria; Enterobacterales; Enterobacteriaceae.
UUAAGCGACUAAGCGUACACGGUGGAUGCCCUGGCAGUCAGAGGCGAUGAAGGACGUGCUAAUCUGCGAUAAGCGCCGGUAAGGUGAUAUGAACCGUUAUAACCGGCGAUUUCCGAAUGGGGAAACCCAGUGUGACUCGUCACACUAUCAUUAACUGAAUCCAUAGGUUAAUGAGGCGAACCGGGGGAACUGAAACAUCUAAGUACCCGAGGAAAAGAAAUCAACCGAGAUUCCCCCAGUAGCGGCGAGCGAACGGGGAGGAGCCCAGAGCCUGAAUCAGCAUGUGUGUUAGUGGAAGCGUCUGGAAAGGCGCGCGAUACAGGGUGACAGCCCCGUACACAAAAGCGCAUGUGCUGUGAGCUCGAUGAGUAGGGCGGGACACGUGGUAUCCUGUCUGAAUAUGGGGGGACCAUCCUCCAAGGCUAAAUACUCCUGACUGACCGAUAGUGAACCAGUACCGUGAGGGAAAGGCGAAAAGAACCCCGGCGAGGGGAGUGAAAAAGAACCUGAAACCGUGUACGUACAAGCAGUGGGAGCCACCACUUUGCGGGUGUUGACUGCGUACCUUUUGUAUAAUGGGUCAGCGACUUAUAUUCUGUAGCAAGGUUAACCGUAUAGGGGAGCCGCAGGGAAACCGAGUCUUAACGGGCGUUAAGUUGCAGGGUAUAGACCCGAAACCCGGUGAUCUAGCCAUGGCAGGUUGAAGGUUGGGUAACACUAACUGGAGGACCGAACCGACUAAUGUUGAAAAAUUAGCGGAUGACCUGUGGCUGGGGGUGAAAGGCCAAUCAAACCGGGAGAUAGCUGGUUCUCCCCGAAAGCUAUUUAGGUAGCGCCUCGUGAAUUCAUCUCCGGGGGUAGAGCACUGUUUCGGCUAGGGGGCCAUCCCGGCUUACCAACCCGAUGCAAACUGCGAAUACCGGAGAAUGUUAUCACGGGAGACACACGGCGGGUGCUAACGUCCGUCGUGAAGAGGGAAACAACCCAGACCGCCAGCUAAGGUCCCAAAGUCAUGGUUAAGUGGGAAACGAUGUGGGAAGGCCCAGACAGCCAGGAUGUUGGCUUAGAAGCAGCCAUCAUUUAAAGAAAGCGUAAUAGCUCACUGGUCGAGUCGGCCUGCGCGGAAGAUGUAACGGGCUAAACCAUGCACCGAAGCUGCGGCAGCGACGCUGAUGCGUUGUUGGGUAGGGGAGCGUUCUGUAAGCCUGUGAAGGUGGCCUGUGAGGGUUGCUGGAGGUAUCAGAAGUGCGAAUGCUGACAUAAGUAACGAUAAAGCGGGUGAAAAGCCCGCUCGCCGGAAGACCAAGGGUUCCUGUCCAACGUUAAUCGGGGCAGGGUGAGUCGACCCCUAAGGCGAGGCCGAAAGGCGUAGUCGAUGGGAAACGGGUUAAUAUUCCCGUACUUGGUGUUACUGCGAAGGGGGGACGGAGAAGGCUAUGUUGGCCGGGCGACGGUUGUCCCGGUUUAAGCGUGUAGGUGUGUGUUCCAGGUAAAUCCGGUUCACUUUAACACUGAGGCGUGACGACGAGGCACUACGGUGCUGAAGCAACAAAUGCCCUGCUUCCAGGAAAAGCCUCUAAGCAUCAGGUAACAUCAAAUCGUACCCCAAACCGACACAGGUGGUCAGGUAGAGAAUACCAAGGCGCUUGAGAGAACUCGGGUGAAGGAACUAGGCAAAAUGGUGCCGUAACUUCGGGAGAAGGCACGCUGACACGUAGGUGAAGUGAUUUACUCAUGGAGCUGAAGUCAGUCGAAGAUACCAGCUGGCUGCAACUGUUUAUUAAAAACACAGCACUGUGCAAACACGAAAGUGGACGUAUACGGUGUGACGCCUGCCCGGUGCCGGAAGGUUAAUUGAUGGGGUCAGCGCAAGCGAAGCUCCUGAUCGAAGCCCCGGUAAACGGCGGCCGUAACUAUAACGGUCCUAAGGUAGCGAAAUUCCUUGUCGGGUAAGUUCCGACCUGCACGAAUGGCGUAAUGAUGGCCAGGCUGUCUCCACCCGAGACUCAGUGAAAUUGAACUCGCUGUGAAGAUGCAGUGUACCCGCGGCAAGACGGAAAGACCCCGUGAACCUUUACUAUAGCUUGACACUGAACAUUGAGCCUUGAUGUGUAGGAUAGGUGGGAGGCUUUGAAGUGUGGACGCCAGUCUGCAUGGAGCCGACCUUGAAAUACCACCCUUUAAUGUUUGAUGUUCUAACGUGGACCCGUGAUCCGGGUUGCGGACAGUGUCUGGUGGGUAGUUUGACUGGGGCGGUCUCCUCCUAAAGAGUAACGGAGGAGCACGAAGGUUGGCUAAUCCUGGUCGGACAUCAGGAGGUUAGUGCAAUGGCAUAAGCCAGCUUGACUGCGAGCGUGACGGCGCGAGCAGGUGCGAAAGCAGGUCAUAGUGAUCCGGUGGUUCUGAAUGGAAGGGCCAUCGCUCAACGGAUAAAAGGUACUCCGGGGAUAACAGGCUGAUACCGCCCAAGAGUUCAUAUCGACGGCGGUGUUUGGCACCUCGAUGUCGGCUCAUCACAUCCUGGGGCUGAAGUAGGUCCCAAGGGUAUGGCUGUUCGCCAUUUAAAGUGGUACGCGAGCUGGGUUUAGAACGUCGUGAGACAGUUCGGUCCCUAUCUGCCGUGGGCGCUGGAGAACUGAGGGGGGCUGCUCCUAGUACGAGAGGACCGGAGUGGACGCAUCACUGGUGUUCGGGUUGUCAUGCCAAUGGCACUGCCCGGUAGCUAAAUGCGGAAGAGAUAAGUGCUGAAAGCAUCUAAGCACGAAACUUGCCCCGAGAUGAGUUCUCCCUGAGACUUAGAGUCUCCUGAAGGAACGUUGAAGACGACGACGUUGAUAGGCCGGGUGUGUAAGCGCAGCGAUGCGUUGAGCUAACCGGUACUAAUGAACCGUGAGGCUUAACCUU